Molecule: ribosomal RNA, 421 nt
Filed under: uncultured bacterium
Lineage: Bacteria
Description: bacterial SSU rRNA
Rfam family: Bacterial small subunit ribosomal RNA
Source: RNAcentral
UGGGGAAUAUUGCACAAUGGGGGAAACCCUGAUGCAGCGACGCCGCGUGAGUGAAGAAGUAUUUCGGUAUGUAAAGCUCUAUCAGCAGGGAAGAACAUGACGGUACCUGACUAAAGAAGCCCCGGCUAACUACGUGCCAGCAGCCGCGGUAAUACGUAGGGGGCAAGCGUUAUCCGGAUUUACUGGGUGUAAAAGGGGAGCGUAGACGGCACUACAAGUCAGAAGUGAAAGCCCGGGGCUCAACCCCGGGACUGCUUUUUGAAACUGCGGGGCUGGAGUGCAGGAGAGGUAAGCGGAAUUCCUAGUGUAGCGGUGAAAUGCGUAGAUAUUAGGAGGAACACCAGUGGCGAAAGGCGGCUUACUGGACUGUAACUGACGUUGAGGCUCGAAAAGCGUGGGGAGCAAAACAGGAUUAGAUACC